GACAAGUUCGAGCAUCUUAAAAUGAUUCAACAGGAGGAGAUAAGGAAGCUCGAGGAAGAGAAAAAAAAACUGGAAGGAGAAAUCAUAGAUUUUUAUAAAAUGAAAGCUGCCUCUGAAGCACUGCAGACUCAGCUGAGCACCGAUACAAAGAAAGACAAACAUCCUGAUCCAUAUGAAUUCCUCUUAUUAAGAAAAAUAAAGCAUCCAGGAUUCAAUGAAGAACUGACUAUCACCUUGUUAAUCAUUCAGAAACAUGUUGCAGGCUUAAGCCAUUUUUGAUAUAGAUACUGAAACAAUUACUUGCUAAGAGCAAACUUGAAGGUAUGGAUAAGGCCCUGAGUCAUCUUCCUGAGCUGAAUGAUAGUUAAGCUGAAUUAACAAUUUGGACAAGACAGCAAAUGCUAUUGUCCAAGUUUUCUAAAGAAGAAUCUGAAGUGAAAUGACAUCAAGAGACCUAUCAAGACCUGUAUCCAGGAAAAGACCAAACCAAU
Molecule: long non-coding RNA, 491 nt
Filed under: Homo sapiens (human)
Lineage: Eukaryota; Metazoa; Chordata; Mammalia; Primates; Hominidae
Description: novel transcript
Source: RNAcentral